UACAGAGGUCCCAAGCGUUGUUCGGAUUCAUUGGGCGUAAAGGGUGUGUAGGCGGGUCUAUAAGUCAGUGGGGAAAUCUCCGGGCUCAACCCGGAAACUGCCAUUGAUACUAUAGGUCUUGAAUAUUGUGGAGGUGGGCGGAAUGUGUCAUGUAGCGGUGAAAUGCUUAGAGAUGACACAGAACACCGAUUGCGAAGGCAGCCCACUACGCAACUAUUGACGCUGAGGCACGAAAGCGUGGGGAUCAAACAGG
Molecule: ribosomal RNA, 253 nt
Filed under: uncultured bacterium
Lineage: Bacteria
Description: partial 16S ribosomal RNA
Rfam family: Bacterial small subunit ribosomal RNA
Source: RNAcentral